UACGUAGGGUGCGAGCGUUGUCCGGAAUUAUUGGGCGUAAAGAGCUCGUAGGCGGUGUGUCACGUCGGCCGUGAAAACCUGCAGCUUAACUGUGGGCGUGCGGUCGAUACGGGCAUCACUGGAGUUCGGCAGGGAGACUGGAAUUCCUGGUGUAGCGGUGAAAUGCGCAGAUAUCAGGAGGAACACCGAUGGCGAAGGCAGGUCACUGGGCCGCAACUGACGCUGAGGAGCGAAAGCAUGGGGAGCGAACAGG
Molecule: ribosomal RNA, 253 nt
Filed under: uncultured bacterium
Lineage: Bacteria
Description: partial 16S ribosomal RNA
Rfam family: Bacterial small subunit ribosomal RNA
Source: RNAcentral